AUACGGAGGGUGCAAGCGUUAAUCGGAAUUACUGGGCGUAAAGCGCGCGUAGGCGGAUUAGUAAGUCGGAUGUGAAAGCCCUGGGCUCAACCUGGGAAUUGCAUUCGAUACUGCUUGACUAGAGUAUGGUAGAGGGAAGUGGAAUUUCCGGUGUAGCGGUGAAAUGCGUAGAUAUCGGAAGGAACACCAGUGGCGAAGGCGACUUCCUGGGCCAAUACUGACGCUGAGGUGCGAAAGCGUGGGGAGCAAACAGGAUUAGAUACCCCAGUAGUCC
Molecule: ribosomal RNA, 274 nt
Filed under: uncultured bacterium
Lineage: Bacteria
Description: partial 16S ribosomal RNA
Rfam family: Bacterial small subunit ribosomal RNA
Source: RNAcentral